ACCGCUAACGCUAUUCACCUGUUUGCCAGUCGGAGUCUCUGAGGGACAGAAGCAGCUCAACAGCACAGCGAGUGGCACCAGUAUGUCCAGCAGAAAACAAGCCUCCACAUCAAAAUCUACUGGUCAGCUCAUGAUGCAGCAAACAUC
Non-coding RNA from Danio rerio (zebrafish), 147 nucleotides. The record is from RefSeq and is a predicted model, not a curated record. Lineage: Eukaryota; Metazoa; Chordata; Actinopteri; Cypriniformes; Danionidae.